Molecule: ribosomal RNA, 903 nt
Filed under: uncultured bacterium
Lineage: Bacteria
Description: bacterial SSU rRNA
Rfam family: Bacterial small subunit ribosomal RNA
Source: RNAcentral
GUGACGGCUAACUACGUGCCAGCAGCCGCGGUAAAACGUAGGUCACAAGCGUUGUCCGGAAUUACUGGGUGUAAAGGGAGCGCAGGCGGGAAGACAAGUUGGAAGUGAAAUCUAUGGGCUCAACCCAUAAACUGCUUUCAAAACUGUUUUUCUUGAGUAGUGCAGAGGUAGGCGGAAUUCCCGGUGUAGCGGUGGAAUGCGUAGAUAUCGGGAGGAACACCAGUGGCGAAGGCGGCCUACUGGGCACCAACUGACGCUGAGGCUCGAAAGUGUGGGUAGCAAACAAGAGGUAGAUACCCUGGUAGUCCACACUGUAAACGAUGAUUAAUAGGUGUUGGGGGAUUGACCCCCUCAGUGCCGCAGUUAACUCAAUAAGUAAUCCACCUGGGGAGUACGACCGCAAGGUUGAAACUCAAAGGAAUUGACGGGGGCCCGCACAAGCAGUGGAGUAUGUGGUUUAAUUCGACGCAACGAGAAGAACCUUACCAAGUCUUGACAUCUUGCGACGGUGCUAGAAAUAGUACUUUCCUUCGGGACGCAGAGACAGGUGGUGCAUGGUUGUCGUCAGCUCGUGUCGUGAGAUGUUGGGUUAAGUCCCGCAACGAGCGCAACCCCUAUGGUCAGUUACUACGCAAGAGGACUCUGGCCAGACUGCCGUUGACAAAACGGAGGAAGGUGGGGAUGACGUCAAAUCAUCAUGCCCUUUAUGACUUGGGCUACACACGUACUACAAUGGCGUUUAACAAAGAGAAGCGAAGUCGCGAGGCAGAGCAAAACUCAGAAACAACGUCCCAGUUCGGACUGCAGGCUGCAACUCGCCUGCACGAAGUCGGAAUUGCUAGUAAUCGCAGAUCGGCAUGCUGCGGUGAAUACGUUCCCGGGCCUUGUACUCACCGCCCGUCA